AAAAAGCAGCAGCAGCAAAUAUGAUAUUCUGGCCAGCGAUGAUGUGGAGGGCCAAGAGGGAGCGACCAUCGACUUUGACGAGGGCGUUUCUAUCACACCUUUCAUCCCGGACGAGCCCCCAUUUGUCACGACCUGGCUCUUUGGGCAAUGACAAGAUUGGAGUUGCGAUUGGGUUUCCGAGGGCUCCAGAGUCAAGCAGCUGAAAGCUCAGCAGGGUCCAUUCAGUCUGGAUCAGACAAAGAUAUCUGAAGAUCCAGAAGGAUUAAGGGUAUAAACCAGCAACUUACAGACAGAGGCACAUUGCUCUCAGUGCCCCACUGCCCUGCCGCUGGCUGCCAAUCAGAGGGGGAACCAGCUGUCAGCUGACUAUGGAGCACAGUGAGCACUUUGCAUCACACCUCAAAGACAAGAUAUGGACGGUUUCCGUGGCUGCAGAUUGAUGUUGUCUUUUAGAAAAGGAAAAACAACAACCGGCAACAUGUUAGCAACUGUUUACUGAAAAACUCUGGUUUCAACACCUGAUAUGCAGCUGACAAGCACACAUUCUGGCCUCCUGAGGCCCACUAGACAAAAGCGGUGCUGGACUUCAUACAGUGUUUUCUCACCUAACUGGACUUCAUACACUGUUAGCUCACUCAACCAGAGAUUCAUGCACUGUUAGCUCACCGAACUGGUGAUGUUAAGGUUGUUCGUUGUGUAUGUUACAGUCAUCUAACCUUAUUGUGGGUUAAUGAAGGUUCAGGGGCAGAGGUGAAGGGAGAUGAAUGACAGUGAAUGUUCAGUGAAAUGAUCACUAUGUUACCUUGAGGAGUACACACUGAAUGCCUGAAGAAAGACAUUAUAAAACAAAGAAAAUUGUUGUGGAAUUCUCUUCUCUGUCAGGUUCAGUUGGUUCAGUUGAAUUUGAUUUCUUACUAAUUGUCUCAUCCGCAUGAAGAGUGAGCUGAUAUUAGGAAGCCUUUCAGCUCCAUUCCUGGACACAUCGUUACAAUGCAUAACUUUUUAGCCUGUUGAUUCAUCCCGGGACCAAAGAUUAAUGAAGGAAACAAUGGUUCUUACUAUCAGGAUGUCAGCUUCAGCUGGAGCAACUGAGCAUUCGUUAAGGAAACCGUAUUAUGAUAUGAAGGAACAAAAGUCAGAAACAGGUUUAAAAAGUAGUAAACUACUUAAGACUGCUGCAGUUCACUGUUAUCGCCCAGUUUAGUUUAGAUUUCAUCCAGACUUGUUGUGAUCUUUCAACCAUUAACUAUGAGAGCAAACGGAAAAGUAAAGUGUUUUUCAAAGGCCCCCUCAACAAAUAAAUAAUGUAUAUCUUUGAAUAAUAUUCGUAUAUUUAUUUAUAUAUAUACAUAUAUAUAUAUAUAUAUACAGUAUAUACGUACAUUGUUUCAUAUUUUGCACAUUUAUUAAAUUUAUUUCCCGAACUAAUGUUUUAUUCCGGAAUUAAUGUCCUCCUUUGAUAUCUAUAUCAUCUUUGAGUUUCACUUUCCACCAGAUUAUCUGUUGAUUAUUAAAUCCCUUUAGAUUCUGUUAAUUUAAGAAUACAACAAGAAUUAUUAACAAUGUCAAGUACCUUCCCUUCACCGAAAAGAGUCAAGACGAUGCGAGAUUCUUUUAAAACUGGACCUUUAUCCUUUUUCUAUAAUUUCAGAUGAUAUUUUUCUAUCUCCCCUGUGAACUCAUUGAACAUCCAAUCAGUUUGAUCAAGUGAUGGCGGAUUAAAA
Molecule: long non-coding RNA, 1724 nt
Organism: Gasterosteus aculeatus aculeatus (three-spined stickleback)
Lineage: Eukaryota; Metazoa; Chordata; Actinopteri; Perciformes; Gasterosteidae
Source: Ensembl